GUGAGAAUAGCUCAGUGGUAGAGCGCAUGCUUAGCAUGCACGAGGUUCCGGGUUCAAUCCCCAGCACC
RNAcentral lists this transfer RNA (68 nucleotides) under Camelus bactrianus (Bactrian camel). It matches the Rfam family "tRNA". Rfam says of the family: Transfer RNA (tRNA) molecules are approximately 80 nucleotides in length. Their secondary structure includes four short double-helical elements and three loops (D, anti-codon, and T loops). RNAcentral also lists the same sequence under 3 other names. The record is from Rfam by way of RNAcentral. Lineage: Eukaryota; Metazoa; Chordata; Mammalia; Artiodactyla; Camelidae.